RNAcentral lists this small nucleolar RNA (167 nucleotides) under Chlamydomonas reinhardtii. RNAcentral's name for it is "CrACA05c snoRNA". Lineage: Eukaryota; Viridiplantae; Chlorophyta; Chlorophyceae; Chlamydomonadales; Chlamydomonadaceae. The record is from RNAcentral.
GGCGCGUGCGUAACCCUGGGCGCGGUCCCCGGCCUCACCCACGUGAGGCUGGCCCUCUCUGCCGCCGCCCGGCUGACUCACAGCGCCUCACAGCGAUCGCUCCGGCUCACUUUGCCCCCGCCCGGCUCACACCACCGGGCAGGGGGUCAUUCUUACCGGCGACAUCC